Schistosoma mansoni is the source of this 48-nucleotide non-coding RNA. Lineage: Eukaryota; Metazoa; Platyhelminthes; Trematoda; Strigeidida; Schistosomatidae. The record is from Rfam.
AUCCAGCUGACGAGUCCCAAAUAAGACGAAAUGCACCUUAUCCUGGAU